UGCCAGGCCGUGGGGGUCAGUGGGUGACUUGGCCAAAGAUGCUACCCCUGGCUUCUUCGAUGCUGCAGGGACCAGGCCUGUGUCCAGUUAGGCUGAGUUGAACCCUGUGACCAUUUUGAAAAAAGGGCUGUGGACAGAGUAAUAGAGAAUGUGUUCUGGAUACAGAAGCCAGGAAGUCAUCUCAGCUUUGAGGAGGGCUGGCCAGGGGCCAGAGUUCAGGGGAGCGCUGGCCCUGGGCUUGCCGAGCAUCCAAGCUCUCUAGGCCUGCCCUCGACCCCCCAAGCCCUUGUUCUCACCCCACCCCAAUCCACCCGUGGCCCCUCACCUUCCAUAGCUGCACACUCCUUAUUGUUCAGGAACAAAGGCAGUUCAGAUUUUUGAAAAAGAAGGAGAACAAAUAAACUCCGCGGAACUCAUCCUGCUUGUGCAGAAAACCUCAACCAAGCCACCCAACCCCAGUGAGUAACAGAGACCAGGACUUGGCCUGGGCAGGGGUGGGGCAGGUCCGCUGGGCUUGGAGUGACCACAGCUGCCUCACUCUGGAGAGGCACCACUACCUGGAAGGACAACAAUAAUGCUCUUCACUACCCUGCUGGUCAUCCCUGCCUCCUGGCACUCAAGCUGUCUGUGGGCAUUACCUCUUGGAGGCCAUCACUUUCCCUUGGGAUCAAGCAGCACCAUCCCAGGUGGAGUGAGGAGAAACAGAGGCAACCAACGCAACAGAAGUUGCCAAGAAGGGAGGACCCAGAGAGGAGCUGCCGUGGCCUGUGUGCCAAACAUCUGUCACCUCAGCCGAUGCCUAGAUGCUGUGAAUGCCAAACCUAGGAUCUUGCUUCUUUGAUCUGCUCCUUCAGUGUCUCUCCAAAAGGGUCCUAGGAUCUUGACCUCGGCCCAGCUGAGGCUGACUCCUCCUCCCUGGACCCUGGGAUGGUGGUGUGUUGAGGGCAGGCAGGCACUGGCUUGCUGUCCACUCUGGGCUGCCACACACCUUGCUGGCACCUGCCUGGCGCCCCAAGGGGCCUGGCCCAAGCCUCAUCUUUGCAGGACAGGACCUUGAUUCCCUGUUCCACCCCCACUCCCAUUCUGUGAACUUUUAUCACAUUAAUCAAACUCUCAAAGCAGCUAAGUAAUAGACUUCACCACAUUCACUUGAGAAUAAUAGAGACCAAAAUGCCAAUGUAUUAAUUACCUGCAGGAGCUCUGUAUUAGUCUGCUUGGGCUGCAAUAAGAAAAUACCACUUACUGAGGGGCUUAAGCGACAGAAAUUUUAUUUUCUCACAGUUCUGGAGACUAGAAGUCCAAGAUCAAGGUCUCUGCAGGGUUGGUUUCUUCGGAGGCCUCUUUCCUUGGCUUGUAGAUGAUUGCCUUCCCACUGUGUCCUGACACAAUCUUUCCUUUGUGCACACACACCCUGGUGUCUCUCUGUGUGUCUAAAUUCCCUCUUCUUAUGAGGACAACAGUCAGAUUGGAUUAAGCCCACCCUAAUAGCUUUAUUUUAACUCGAUUAUCUUUGUAAAGGCCCUAUCUCCAAAUAAGGUCACGUUCUGAGGUCCUGAGACUUCAACAUAUGAAUUUGAGGGGAACAAUUCAGCCCAUAAGUUCAGUCUGGAGUGAGUAAUGGGAUUGACCUUGGGCACAGAACUUCCUGAUGGGCAGACAGACCUACCCAGGAGCCUGGGCCCUGGGUCCAAAGAUUGCUUGGCCAUUUAAAGAGGACCACAGAAACUUUGAGGCUUCUCCUAUGGAGAAGUGGGGUCAGUUACCCCUUCCCUGAGUCUGGGCUGGGCCCAAGCUGCUUUGACUAAUGGAGGAUGGCAGAAGUGAUGCCAUGCCAGUGUCAGGCUUAGACUUUUCAAAGGCUCCUGCCUUGGUUCCUUGGAGCUCCAAGUCACCAUGUGAGAAGCUGGACCACACUGCUGGAGAGACCCCGUGGAAUGGUCACAAUGCUACAUGGAAAGGGAGAGAAGCCCUGCUGAGCCAGCCCUCCAGCCUCCCUUGCCAAGGCACCAGGCACAGGAGUGGGGCCAUCUUGGAUCCUCCAGACUAGAGCAGUUACUAGAUGAAUAUCAUCAAGUGACCCCAUUCAAUGCCAUGUGUUGCUGAAGAAUCACCCAACUGAGCCCUGCCCUAAUUCCUGACCCCCAUCAUCAUGAAAGAUAAUAAAAUGGCUGUUGUUUUAAGCCACUAGGUUUUAGGGUCCUCUGUGAUGCAGCAAGGGUUCACUGGAGGGUUUAGUAACUAUGGAAGUGAUAUAACAGGAGUUGGAUGAUGUUGAGGGAUAUUCUUGCCAGGCUGGUGAAGAAGGACUGGUGAGUCACUGUCCCCUCCACAGUGAGAGCAUGGCUGAGCAGGCUGGGCUGUCUGCUACCUUCCCAUCUGGGGUUAAGAGAGCAGGCAAUCUCUUUCUUCCCAAGCUCCAUCUUCAGGAAUCUGAGAAAGCCCUGGACUGGGCACUGUUGCCAUUCUGGAGGCUGUGAAGGGUCAGGAAAAGGCAGAGAAGAGGAACUGCCAUUUCUUAGCACCUCCAAUGAGCUUCUGAGUUCCUCAUGGGUGAGAUUCCCUUUAAUUUGCCCCGCUCUCCUGCCAGGAGGCCCAGUUCCAGCCAAGAUCCCAAACAACAGAUAGUGAGAACCUCUGCACAUGAGAGGGGGCCUUUGGGUGCUCCCACCCCAGACUCCCAGCUGCCCCAGCUGACACCGAGUGGAGGAGAAAGAAGCUGUCUCCAUCAUGCCCCAUUGAAAUUGCAGGUUGGUGAGCAAAAUA
RNAcentral lists this long non-coding RNA (2763 nucleotides) under Homo sapiens (human). Its description in RNAcentral is "HSALNT0281682". The record is from RNAcentral. Lineage: Eukaryota; Metazoa; Chordata; Mammalia; Primates; Hominidae.